ACAGCAGUCGCCACGGUAAUACGAAGGGUGCAAGCGUUACUCGGAAUUACUGGGCGUAAAGCGUGCGUAGGUGGUGGUUUAAGUCCGUUGUGAAAGCCCUGGGCUCAACCUGGGAAUUGCAGUGGAUACUGGAUCACUAGAGUGUGGUAGAGGAUAGUGGAAUUUCCGGUGUAGCAGUGAAAUGCGUAGAGAUCGGAAGGAACAUCUGUGGCGAAGGCGACUAUCUGGGCCAACACUGACACUGAGGCACGAAAGCGUGGGGAGCAAACAGGAUUAGAGACCCGAGUAGUCCCUGUCUCUUAUAC
This 305-nucleotide ribosomal RNA is filed under the name uncultured bacterium. RNAcentral describes it as "partial 16S ribosomal RNA". It matches the Rfam family "Bacterial small subunit ribosomal RNA", at positions 505 to 807 of the family's 1533-position model. The record is from RNAcentral.